CCUGGUGGCUCAGAUGGUAAAGAAUCUGCCUGCAAUGCAGAAGACCUGGGUUCAAUCCCUGGGUCAGGA
Molecule: transfer RNA, 69 nt
Filed under: Bos taurus (domestic cattle)
Lineage: Eukaryota; Metazoa; Chordata; Mammalia; Artiodactyla; Bovidae
Also listed under: 4 other names
Rfam family: tRNA
About the family: Transfer RNA (tRNA) molecules are approximately 80 nucleotides in length. Their secondary structure includes four short double-helical elements and three loops (D, anti-codon, and T loops).
Source: Rfam by way of RNAcentral